GACGUAGGGCGCGAGCGUUGUCCGGAUUUAUUGGGCGUAAAGAGCUUGUAGGCGGUUUGUCGCGUCUGCUGUGAAAAUCCGGGGCUCAACCCCGGACUUGCAGUGGGUACGGGCAGUCUAGAGUGUGGUAGGGGAGACUGGAAUUCCUGGUGUAGCGGUGAAAUGCGCAGAUAUCAGGAGGAACACCGAUGGCGAAGGCAGGUCUCUGGGCCACUACUGACGCUGAGAAGCGAAAGCAUGGGGAGCGAACAGG
RNAcentral lists this ribosomal RNA (253 nucleotides) under uncultured bacterium. Its description in RNAcentral is "partial 16S ribosomal RNA". It matches the Rfam family "Bacterial small subunit ribosomal RNA", at positions 524 to 776 of the family's 1533-position model. The record is from RNAcentral.